GGGUCGUUGGCAGAACGGUUAUGCAGCCGCCUUUUAAGCGGAAAGAUCAGGGUUCAACCCCCUGGCGACCCACCA
Molecule: transfer RNA, 75 nt
Filed under: Leptolyngbya sp. Cla-17
Lineage: Bacteria; Bacillati; Cyanobacteriota; Cyanophyceae; Leptolyngbyales; Leptolyngbyaceae
Also listed under: 2 other names
Description: tRNA-Lys
Rfam family: tRNA
About the family: Transfer RNA (tRNA) molecules are approximately 80 nucleotides in length.
Source: RNAcentral